AGGGUUUGAUUAUGGCUCAGAUUGAACGCUGGCGGCAUGCUUUACACAUGCAAGUCGAACGGCAGCACGGGGAGCUUGCUCCCGGGUGGCGAGUGGCGCACGGGUGAGUAAUACAUCGGAACGUGUCCUCUUGUGGGGGAUAACAACCCGAAAGGGUUGCUAAUACCGCAUGAGACCUGAGGGUGAAAGCGGGGGAUCGCAAGACCUCGCGCAAGGGGAGCGGCCGAUGCCCGAUUAGCUGGUUGGUGAGGUAAAGGCUCACCAAGGCGACGAUCGGUAGCUGGUCUGAGAGGACGACCAGCCACACUGGGACUGAGACACGGCCCAG
Molecule: ribosomal RNA, 328 nt
Filed under: uncultured bacterium
Lineage: Bacteria
Description: bacterial SSU rRNA
Rfam family: Bacterial small subunit ribosomal RNA
Source: RNAcentral